RNAcentral lists this ribosomal RNA (754 nucleotides) under uncultured Acinetobacter sp. RNAcentral describes it as "bacterial SSU rRNA". It matches the Rfam family "Bacterial small subunit ribosomal RNA", at positions 28 to 776 of the family's 1533-position model. Lineage: Bacteria; Pseudomonadati; Pseudomonadota; Gammaproteobacteria; Moraxellales; Moraxellaceae. The record is from RNAcentral.
AUUGAACGCUGGCGGCAGGCUUAACACAUGCAAGUCGAGCGGGCGAGGUUGCUUCGGUAACUGAGCUAGCGGCGGACGGGUGAGUAAUGCUUAGGAAUCUGCCUAUUAGUGGGGGACAACAUUCCGAAAGGAAUGCUAAUACCGCAUACGCCCUACGGGGGAAAGCAGGGGAUCUUCGGACCUUGCGCUAAUAGAUGAGCCUAAGUCAGAUUAGCUAGUUGGUGGGGUAAAGGCCUACCAAGGCGACGAUCUGUAGCGGGUCUGAGAGGAUGAUCCGCCACACUGGGACUGAGACACGGCCCAGACUCCUACGGGAGGCAGCAGUGGGGAAUAUUGGACAAUGGGCGAAAGCCUGAUCCAGCCAUGCCGCGUGUGUGAAGAAGGCCUUUUGGUUGUAAAGCACUUUAAGCGAGGAGGAGGCUACUUGGAUUAAUACUCUAGGAUAGUGGACGUUACUCGCAGAAUAAGCACCGGCUAACUCUGUGCCAGCAGCCGCGGUAAUACAGAGGGUGCGAGCGUUAAUCGGAUUUACUGGGCGUAAAGCGUGCGUAGGCGGCUUUUUAAGUCGGAUGUGAAAUCCCUGAGCUUAACUUAGGAAUUGCAUUCGAUACUGGGAAGCUAGAGUAUGGGAGAGGAUGGUAGAAUUCCAGGUGUAGCGGUGAAAUGCGUAGAGAUCUGGAGGAAUACCGAUGGCGAAGGCAGCCAUCUGGCCUAAUACUGACGCUGAGGUACGAAAGCAUGGGGAGCAAACAGG